This 1499-nucleotide long non-coding RNA is filed under the name Dromaius novaehollandiae (emu). RNAcentral describes it as "lncRNA (ENSDNVG00000001263.1)". Lineage: Eukaryota; Metazoa; Chordata; Aves; Casuariiformes; Dromaiidae. The record is from RNAcentral.
GGGCUUGCCCGCUGCGGGAGCAGCUCCUGCCGCCCCGGCCGCCCUCACCUGUAGUCCUCGCGGGUGGCGAUGAGGCUGGACACGUUCCUGAGGAUGCCGCCCCCGCUCUCGAUGAUGGCCAGCGAGUUGCUCUGGCACUUGUAGGUGAGGGUGCUCACCAGGAAGCCCAGGGCCCCCUCCACCACGCAGAUGGCAGCUUUGUUCUCCGUGCUGUGCGCCGACAGGUUCCAGAGCGCGCUGAGGACGCUCUUGAGAGUCGACUCCUGCCCGGGGACAGGUCCCCAUCAGCCCCCGCCGCCAGAGCCCCCUCGCCCCGCUGCAGAGCGCUCACCUUGGCGGCGUGCAGCGCGCACUGCGUCAGCCCCGUGACGCUGCCCACCUCCCGCAGCACCUUCUUGCUGUUGAUGUCGGCCCUCCAGGAGAGGUUCCUCAGGAUGCUGGACACCACCUGCGAGGGCAGAGCGAGGGCACGGGCAGUCCUGCGCGCCGGGGCUCUCCUGGGCGUCCCGGCAGCAGCGGCACCCCGGGGCGGCCCCGUGCUGGGGUGCGUGGCCUGUCCCCGUCCCCGUCCCCGUCCCCGUCCCCGUCCCCAUCCCAGCCCACCCACCUGGUGCAGCUCCUCGCUGUCGGAGGCCAGCUGGGCCACGAUGGCCUCCAUGCAGCCAGUCCCAGCAGGUCUCCGAGUAGGAGCGGAUCUGCUCCAGCACGUGCAGCACCCGCAUCUCCUUCUUGGCCUGGCCCUCGUCGGGCUGCGAGAAGACGAUGUUGUGCAGGGCGGCGUUGGCCCGCAUGCGGGCGUCCUUGGCGCCGGCGGGGCUCUCGGGGGGCCCCGGCUCCCGGUCCGUGUCGUGCAGGAUCUGGAUGAGCAGGGGCAGGCAGCCCGACUUGCGCAUGGCCAGGCAGCUCUCCUGCGAGCUGGACAUGGCCAGCAGCGUGCGGGACAUGUCGUCCUUGUCCCGCGUCGCCAGCAUGGACAGGAGCCAGAAGACCACCUCCACCUGCGGGCCGGGCAGCCGCGGUUACGCCCUGGGGCCGGGCUGUGUCUCCGCUCCGGCGCCCAGCGGGGCCGGCUCCUACCUUGCUGUUGCCCAGGCUGCCGCCCCCGUCUUCGGGGUGGGUCGGGAUCUCGAGGCUGCUGUCCUCCUCCAUGCCCGGCAGCUUCCCGCAGAGCUGCGGAGGACGGGACAGGCGGGGCCGCGUUGCAGCACGGCCGGUCCCGGUCCCGGUCCCGGCUGGCUCGUGGUGGCCACGCCGCGACCCGGAGAGGCCGAGCGCGCCGUGCCCCGCAGCGAUGCACGGCACCGCGCCUUCCCCACGCGCCGGGCGCUUUGCACGGCCCCGGCUGCACCGCUAAAUUCUGCAGCAUUUCUCAACCGUUGCAACUGCUGCUUUCUUAAAUGCCGCAGCCGUAUUUUUAAGCUGAAACCGGAGCUGAGCAGCGAGCGCUGCCACGAUAACGUGCGCGGGAGAGGCAGCGCGUGGGUAAUGAGCAGGGAGGG